This 582-nucleotide ribosomal RNA is filed under the name uncultured Eustigmatophyceae. Its description in RNAcentral is "SSU rRNA". It matches the Rfam family "Eukaryotic small subunit ribosomal RNA", at positions 575 to 1159 of the family's 1831-position model. The record is from RNAcentral. Lineage: Eukaryota; Eustigmatophyceae.
CGCGGUAAUUCCAGCUCCAAUAGCGUAUACUAAAGUGUUGCAGUUAAAAAGCUCGUAGUUGGAUUUCUGGCGGGGACGGCUGGUCGGUCUCGAAAGGGGCUGUACUGUUGUUGGUUCCCGUCAUCCUUGGGGAGAGCGGCUCUUACAUUAAGUUGUCGGCGUCGGGAUCCCUAUCUUUUACUGUGAAAAAAUUAGAGUGUUCAAAGCAGGCUUAGGACCUGAAUACAUUAGCAUGGAAUAAUAAGAUACGACCUUGGUGGUCUAUUUUGUUGGUUUGCACGCCAAGGUAAUGAUUAAUAGGGAUAGUUGGGGGUAUUCGUAUUCAAUUGUCAGAGGUGAAAUUCUUGGAUUUAUGGAAGACGAACUACUGCGAAAGCAUUUACCAAGGAUGUUUUCAUUAAUCAAGAACGAAAGUUAGGGGAUCGAAGAUGAUUAGAUACCAUCGUAGUCUUAACCAUAAACUAUGCCGACUAGGGAUCGGUGGGUGCAUUUUUAGGCCUCAUCGGCACCUUAUGAGAAAUCAAAGUCUUUGGGUUCCGGGGGGAGUAUGGUCGCAAGGCUGAAACUUAAAGAAAUUGACGG